Molecule: ribosomal RNA, 255 nt
Filed under: uncultured bacterium
Lineage: Bacteria
Description: partial 16S ribosomal RNA
Rfam family: Bacterial small subunit ribosomal RNA
Source: RNAcentral
UACGAAGGGGGCGAGCGUUUGUUCGGAAUUACUGGGCGUAAAGGGCGCGCAGGCGGCUCUGAAAGUCAGAUGUGAAAGCCCCGGGCUUAACCUGGGAAUUGCAUUUGAUACUCUGGAGCUUGAGUACGGGAGAGGAGAGUGGAAUUCCCAGUGUAGAGGUGAAAUUCGUAGAUAUUGGGAAGAACACCGGUGGCGAAGGCGGCUCUCUGGCUCGGUACUGACGCUGAGGUGCGAAAGCGUGGGGAGCAAACAGGG